CCUACGGGCGGCAGCAGUGAGGAAUAUUGGUCAAUGGACGAGAGUCUGAACCAGCCAAGUAGCGUGAAGGAUGACUGCCCUAUGGGUUGUAAACUUCUUUUAUAUGGGAAUAAAAUGUUCCACGUGUGGGAUUUUGUAUGUACCAUAUGAAUAAGGAUCGGCUAACUCCGUGCCAGCAGCCGCGGUAAUACGGAGGAUCCGAGCGUUAUCCGGAUUUAUUGGGUUUAAAGGGAGCGUAGGCGGAUUGUUAAGUCAGUUGUGAAAGUUUGCGGCUCAACCGUAAAAUUGCAGUUGAAACUGGCAGUCUUGAGUGCAGUAGAGGUGGGCGGAAUGCGUGGUGUAGCGGUGAAAUGCUUAGAUAUCACGAAGAACUCCGAUUGCGAAGGCAGUUCACUGGACUGCAACUGACACUGAGGCUCGAAAGUGUGGGUAUCAAACAGGAUUAGAUACCCUUGUAGUC
RNAcentral lists this ribosomal RNA (460 nucleotides) under uncultured bacterium. Its description in RNAcentral is "partial 16S ribosomal RNA". It matches the Rfam family "Bacterial small subunit ribosomal RNA", at positions 338 to 795 of the family's 1533-position model. The record is from RNAcentral.